GGUGAACGCUGGCGGCGCGCCUAAUACAUGCAAGUCGAGCGACACACUUCGGGUGUGAGCGGCAAACGGGUGAGUAACACGUGGGAACCUGCCUCAAAGUGGAGGAUAGUUCGCCGAAAGGCGGAGUAAUACUCCAUGUGCUCUUACGAGCAAAGAUGCAAAUCGCUUUGAGAGGGGCCUGCGUCCGAUUAGCUUGUUGGUAGGGUAACGGCCUACCAAGGCUACGAUCGGUAGCUGGUCUGAGAGGACGACCAGCCACACUGGGACUGAGACACGGCCCAGACUCCUACGGGAGGCAGCAGUAGGGAAUCUUCCGCAAUGCGCGAAAGCGUGACGCAGCAACGCCGCGUGGGAGAC
Molecule: ribosomal RNA, 357 nt
Filed under: uncultured bacterium
Lineage: Bacteria
Description: bacterial SSU rRNA
Rfam family: Bacterial small subunit ribosomal RNA
Source: RNAcentral